RNAcentral lists this ribosomal RNA (427 nucleotides) under uncultured bacterium. Its description in RNAcentral is "partial 16S ribosomal RNA". It matches the Rfam family "Bacterial small subunit ribosomal RNA", at positions 355 to 774 of the family's 1533-position model. The record is from RNAcentral.
UGGGGAAUAUUGCACAAUGGGCGCAAGCCUGAUGCAGCCAUGCCGCGUGUAUGAAGAAGGCCUUCGGGUUGUAAAGUACUUUCAGCGGGGAGGAAGGUGUUGUGGUUAAUAACCACAGCAAUUGACGUUACCCGCAGAAGAAGCACCGGCUAACUCCGUGCCAGCAGCCGCGGUAAUACGGAGGGUGCAAGCGUUAAUCGGAAUUACUGGGCGUAAAGCGCACGCAGGCGUUCUGUCAAGUCGGAUGUGAAAUCCCCGGGCUCAACCUGGGAACUGCAUCCGAAACUGGCAGGCUUGAGUCUUGUAGAGGGGGGUAGAAUUCCAGGUGUAGCGGUGAAAUGCGUAGAGAUCUGGAGGAAUACCGGUGGCGAAGGCGGCCCCCUGGACAAAGACUGACGCUCAGGUGCGAAAGCGUGGGGAGCAAACA